Molecule: ribosomal RNA, 1264 nt
Filed under: Staphylococcus aureus
Lineage: Bacteria; Bacillati; Bacillota; Bacilli; Caryophanales; Staphylococcaceae
Description: partial 23S ribosomal RNA
Rfam family: Bacterial large subunit ribosomal RNA
Source: RNAcentral
AACCAACAAGCUUGCUUGUUGGGGUUGUAGGACACUCUAUACGGAGUUACAAAGGACGACAUUAGACGAAUCAUCUGGAAAGAUGAAUCAAAGAAGGUAAUAAUCCUGUAGUCGAAAAUGUUGUCUCUCUUGAGUGGAUCCUGAGUACGACGGAGCACGUGAAAUUCCGUCGGAAUCUGGGAGGACCAUCUCCUAAGGCUAAAUACUCUCUAGUGACCGAUAGUGAACCAGUACCGUGAGGGAAAGGUGAAAAGCACCCCGGAAGGGGAGUGAAAUAGAACCUGAAACCGUGUGCUUACAAGUAGUCAGAGCCCGUUAAUGGGUGAUGGCGUGCCUUUUGUAGAAUGAACCGGCGAGUUACGAUUUGAUGCAAGGUUAAGCAGUAAAUGUGGAGCCGUAGCGAAAGCGAGUCUGAAUAGGGCGUUUAGUAUUUGGUCGUAGACCCGAAACCAGGUGAUCUACCCUUGGUCAGGUUGAAGUUCAGGUAACACUGAAUGGAGGACCGAACCGACUUACGUUGAAAAGUGAGCGGAUGAACUGAGGGUAGCGGAGAAAUUCCAAUCGAACCUGGAGAUAGCUGGUUCUCUCCGAAAUAGCUUUAGGGCUAGCCUCAAGUGAUGAUUAUUGGAGGUAGAGCACUGUUUGGACGAGGGGCCCCUCUCGGGUUACCGAAUUCAGACAAACUCCGAAUGCCAAUUAAUUUAACUUGGGAGUCAGAACAUGGGUGAUAAGGUCCGUGUUCGAAAGGGAAACAGCCCAGACCACCAGCUAAGGUCCCAAAAUAUAUGUUAAGUGGAAAAGGAUGUGGCGUUGCCCAGACAACUAGGAUGUUGGCUUAGAAGCAGCCAUCAUUUAAAGAGUGCGUAAUAGCUCACUAGUCGAGUGACACUGCGCCGAAAAUGUACCGGGGCUAAACAUAUUACCGAAGCUGUGGAUUGUCCUUUGGACAAUGGUAGGAGAGCGUUCUAAGGGCGUUGAAGCAUGAUCGUAAGGACAUGUGGAGCGCUUAGAAGUGAGAAUGCCGGUGUGAGUAGCGAAAGACGGGUGAGAAUCCCGUCCACCGAUUGACUAAGGUUUCCAGAGGAAGGCUCGUCCGCUCUGGGUUAGUCGGGUCCUAAGCUGAGGCCGACAGGCGUAGGCGAUGGAUAACAGGUUGAUAUUCCUGUACCACCUAUAAUCGUUUUAAUCGAUGGGGGGACGCAGUAGGAUAGGCGAAGCGUGCGAUUGGAUUGCACGUCUAAGCAGUAAGGCUGAGUAUUAGGCA